UGGCUGUCGUCAGCUCGUGUUGUGAAAUGUUGGGUUAAGUCCCGCAACGAGCGCAACCCUUAUCCUUUGUUGCCAGCGGUCCGGGCCGGGAACUCAAAGGAGACUGCCAGUGAUAAACUGGAGGAAGGUGGGGAUGACGUCAAGUCAUCAUGGCCCUUACGACCAGGGCUACACACGUGCUACAAUGGCAUAUACAAAGAGAAGCGACCUCGCGAGAGCAAGCGGACCUCAUAAAGUAUGUCGUAGUCCGGAUUGGAGUCUGCAACUCGACUCCAUGAAGUCGGAAUCGCUAGUAAUCGUGGAUCAGAAUGCCACGGUGAAUACGUUCCCGGGCCUUGUACACACCGCCCGUCACACCAUGGGAGUGGGUUGCAAAAGAAGUAGUAGAGUUUGAUCCUGG
This 400-nucleotide ribosomal RNA is filed under the name maize root bacterium ZmrIs2AY. RNAcentral describes it as "bacterial SSU rRNA". It matches the Rfam family "Bacterial small subunit ribosomal RNA", at positions 1046 to 1445 of the family's 1533-position model. The record is from RNAcentral.